GGUGUUUUGGCCUUUGCAGAGCUCUGCCCAUGCUGUAGUUCCGGUCAUUCUCCAGAAGCCACGCAACAGCACGGAGUUGUGAGAAAGUCCUUACGAGUUUCACCGAUAACCAGUCUGGAGUGAAUCAGAUGUGUCUGCUUCACGGCCAGGAUUUCAGUGAAUUAUGCCUUUUCGGUUUGGGACCCAGCCAAGGAGGUUUCCAGUGGAAGGAGGAGACUCUUCAAUUGAGCUAGAAUCAGGCCUGAGCUCCAGUGCUUCCUGUAAUGGGAAAGAGACGUCACCCAACAGGCAACUCCGAAGAUGCCCCGGAAGUCAUUGCCUGACAAUAACUGAUGUUCCCAUCACCGUCUAUGCAACAAUGAGAAAGCCACCUGCGCAAAGCAGCAAGGAAAUGCGUCCCAAAUAGCAUCAUUAAGUCUUCUGUCGAGGGUUGACUAGGUCAAGGGUAA
This 449-nucleotide long non-coding RNA is filed under the name Rattus norvegicus (Norway rat). RNAcentral describes it as "long non-coding RNA NONRATT017797". The record is from RNAcentral. Lineage: Eukaryota; Metazoa; Chordata; Mammalia; Rodentia; Muridae.